This 402-nucleotide ribosomal RNA is filed under the name uncultured Enterococcus sp. RNAcentral describes it as "bacterial SSU rRNA". It matches the Rfam family "Bacterial small subunit ribosomal RNA", at positions 338 to 732 of the family's 1533-position model. Lineage: Bacteria; Bacillati; Bacillota; Bacilli; Lactobacillales; Enterococcaceae. The record is from RNAcentral.
CCUACGGGAGGCAGCAGUUAGGAAUAUUUGUCAAUGGAGGAAACUCUGAACAAGCAAUGCCGCGUGAAGGAUGACGGUCCUAUGGAUUGUAAACUUCUGUUGUUAGGGAAGAACGACUACACAAGGAAAUGUGUGUAGAGUGACGGUACCUUUCAAGAAAGCUCCGGCUAACUACGUGCCAGCAGCCGCGGUAAUACGUAGGGAGCGAGCGUUAUCCGGAUUUAUUGGGUGUAAAGGGUGCGUAGGCGGCUUUAUAAGUCGGUGGUCUAAGUCCGAAGCUUAACUUCGGUUCGCCAUUGAAACUGUAGAGCUUGAGUAUGGAAGAGGUAAGUGGAAUUUCUAGUGUAGCGGUUAAAUGCGUAGAUAUUAGAAGGAACACCAGUGGCGAAAGCGACUUACUGG